GAGUUUGAUCCUGGCUCAGAGCGAACGUUAGCGGCGGGCCUAACACAUGCAAGUCGAACGAGAAAGCUCCCUUCGGGGGGUGAGUACAGUGGCGCACGGGUGAGUAACACGUGGGUAACCUACCCUUUGGUGGGGGACAACAGCUCGAAAGGGCUGCUAAUACCUCAUAAGUCGGCGAGGUCUUCGGAUCUUUCCGGGAAAGGUGGCCUCUACAUGUAAGCUAUCGCCAGAGUAGGGGCCCGCGUCCCAUCAGCUUGAUGGUGAGGUAACGGCUCACCAUGGCUUAGACGGGUAGCUGGUCUGAGAGGAUGAUCAGCCACACUGGGACUGAGACACGGCCCAGACUCCUACGGGAGGCAGCAGUGGGGAAUAUUGGACAAUGGGCGAAAGCCUGAUCCAGCCACGCCGCGUGUGUGAUGAAGGCCUUCGGGUCGUAAAGCACUGUGGAGGGGGACGAACAACCUGAAGAACAAUACCUUCAGGCCUGACGGUACCCCUUUAGCAAGCACCGGCUAACUCC
This 520-nucleotide ribosomal RNA is filed under the name uncultured bacterium. RNAcentral's name for it is "bacterial SSU rRNA". It matches the Rfam family "Bacterial small subunit ribosomal RNA", at positions 9 to 504 of the family's 1533-position model. The record is from RNAcentral.